RNAcentral lists this transfer RNA (85 nucleotides) under Felis catus (domestic cat). It matches the Rfam family "tRNA". From Rfam's summary of the family: Transfer RNA (tRNA) molecules are approximately 80 nucleotides in length. Their secondary structure includes four short double-helical elements and three loops (D, anti-codon, and T loops). The record is from Rfam by way of RNAcentral. Lineage: Eukaryota; Metazoa; Chordata; Mammalia; Carnivora; Felidae.
GCCUGGGUGGCUCGGUCGGUUAAGCAUCUGACUUCGGCUCAGGUCAUGAUCUCGUGGUCUGUGGGUUCGAGCCCCGCAUCGGGCU